RNAcentral lists this ribosomal RNA (427 nucleotides) under uncultured Paenibacillus sp. RNAcentral describes it as "bacterial SSU rRNA". It matches the Rfam family "Bacterial small subunit ribosomal RNA", at positions 355 to 774 of the family's 1533-position model. Lineage: Bacteria; Bacillati; Bacillota; Bacilli; Caryophanales; Paenibacillaceae. The record is from RNAcentral.
UAGGGAAUCUUCCGCAAUGGACGCGAAGUCUGACGGAGCAACGCCGCGUGAGUGAAGAAGGUUUUCGGAUCGUAAAGCUCUGUUGCCAGGGAAGAAAGGCUAAGGGAGGAAAUGCCCUUAGAUUGACGGUACCUGAGAAGAAAGCCCCGGCUAACUACGUGCCAGCAGCCGCGGUAAUACGUAGGGGGCAAGCGUUGUCCGGAAUUAUUGGGCGUAAAGCGCGCGCAGGCGGUCGAGAUAGUCUGGGGGUUAAUCCUGGGGCUCAACCCCGGGUCACCCUGGAAACUGUUCGACUGGAGGACAGAAGAGGAGAGUGGAAUUCCACGUGUAGCGGUGAAAUGCGUAGAGAUGUGGAGGAACACCAGUGGCGAAGGCGACUCUCUGGACUGUGACUGACGCUGAGGCGCGAAAGCGUGGGGAGCAAACA